GUGAUGGGAUGUACUGAAGUUUCUUCUUCUUGGCCCCCUUGGGAGCAUAGGGCGUCCACCAUGGAUCUCCACCUCACUCUCUUCUGUGCAGUGGUCUUUGCUUCUUGCCAGGAGGUCCCGAUCUUGUUUAGCUCGUCGAGCAUAGACCGUCUCCAGUUGUUUUUUGGUCUCCCUGGCUUCCUCUUUCCUUGUGGGUUGUAGGGAUCGGAAGAGAGACGUGUAGGGAAA
Long non-coding RNA from Sebastes umbrosus (honeycomb rockfish), 228 nucleotides. RefSeq lists it as uncharacterized. The transcript is spliced from 4 exons. NCBI's taxonomy places the organism in Eukaryota, Metazoa, Chordata, Actinopteri, Perciformes, Sebastidae. The record is from RefSeq and is a predicted model, not a curated record.